Oryzias latipes (Japanese medaka) is the source of this 620-nucleotide long non-coding RNA. RefSeq lists it as uncharacterized. NCBI's taxonomy places the organism in Eukaryota, Metazoa, Chordata, Actinopteri, Beloniformes, Adrianichthyidae. The record is from RefSeq and is a predicted model, not a curated record.
UCAAAUGUUGGUUGCCAUGGAGAAGUCUAUUAACCUAAUGUAAAUCUCAACAACAAAUAUUUCAUUCUUCGACUUUGUAGACAUUGCGUCUUCUGAAGACAUCAGCAACCUGAAGAAAGAAAAACUCUAUUUCCUCUGUUUCCAUCACCAAAAAUGUUUGACAGACCAUCAGACCUCCAUGAGCACAACUACUGUAAAAAAGAGUUGGAGCCUGGGAAAGAGACUCCUCCCCCUCCUGCAGCUGCUCCUCUCUUAACUACCACCAGCUGUCGUCACUGAGCUCAUCACCCUCUGCAGCUCAAAAGGAGAUCCAGCUCCACCAUUCAACGCCAGUUCGUUGCCUAUAAUGGUGACUCGUCUGGAAUUCCAUCCACGAGUGACGUCAGUGUGGACCUACUACCUUACAGUCUUGAAGAACUGGAAGACCACUCGGACUACGCCGACCGCGUUUGUACCUCCAGCCACGCCACAAGCCCUUGGCUGUUCCGGACCUUGCCAUGCCAAAAUCAUAACCAUCUCUGGAGGAAUAAUAAAUCAUUCUUACCUGUCCUCAUUCUGGGUUCCAGCACCUGGGUUCUCCUCGCUUGGAGAUCAUGACAGUUUGUGCUUUACAUCCUGAA